Molecule: RNase P RNA, 341 nt
Filed under: Gammaproteobacteria bacterium
Lineage: Bacteria; Pseudomonadati; Pseudomonadota; Gammaproteobacteria
Description: RNase P RNA component class A
Rfam family: Bacterial RNase P class A
About the family: Ribonuclease P (RNase P) is a ubiquitous endoribonuclease, found in archaea, bacteria and eukarya as well as chloroplasts and mitochondria.
Source: RNAcentral
UGAGUUCGCCGGACGGCCGCGGGUUUCGACCUGAGGAAAGUCCGGACUCCACAGGGCAGGGUGCUGGGUAACGCCCAGGCGGGGCAACCCGACGGAAAGUGCCACAGAGAACAGACCGCCGAAAGGUAAGGGUGAAACGGUGGUGUAAGAGACCACCAGCGUCCCGGGUGACCGGGGCGGCUCGGCAAACCCCACCCGGAGCAAGGCCAAGCAGGGACUGGAUUGCCCGUCCGUUACGUCCCAGGUAGGCCGCACGAGGUCGAUGGCAACACCGAUCCCAGAUAGAUGGCCGUCCCCGGGGAGACCCGGGACAGAAUCCGGCUUACAGGCGGACUCGCCAU